RNAcentral lists this ribosomal RNA (698 nucleotides) under uncultured Syntrophorhabdus sp. Its description in RNAcentral is "bacterial SSU rRNA". It matches the Rfam family "Bacterial small subunit ribosomal RNA", at positions 72 to 784 of the family's 1533-position model. The record is from RNAcentral. Lineage: Bacteria; Pseudomonadati; Thermodesulfobacteriota; Syntrophorhabdia; Syntrophorhabdales; Syntrophorhabdaceae.
CUUUGUAGCAAUAUGAAGUAUCCUAGUGGCGAACGGGUGAGUAACGCGUUGGUGACCUACCCCAAAGUGUGGGAUAACAGUCCGAAAGGAUUGCUAAUACCGCAUGUGGUCUCUGGAUUUAGAAACCGGUGACUAAAGGAGCAAUUCGCUUUGGGAGGGACCUGCGUCCCAUCAGCUAGUUGGUGAGGUAACGGCUCACCAAGGCGACGACGGGUAGGGGACCUGAGAGGGUGGCCCCCCACAAUGGAACUGAAACACGGUCCAUACACCUACGGGUGGCAGCAGUAGGGAAUAUUGGUCAAUGGGCGAAAGCCUGAACCAGCAACGCCGCGUGUGCGAUGAAGGCCUUCGGGUCGUAAAGCACUUUUCUGGGAGAUGAGAAAGGACAGUAUCCCAGGAAUAAGUCUCGGCUAACUACGUGCCAGCAGCCGCGGUAAAACGUAGGAGGCGAGCGUUAAUCGGAAUUACUGGGCGUAAAGCGUGCGCAGGCGGUUUUGUAAGCCAGAUGUGAAAUCCCCGGGCUUAACCUGGGAAUGGCAUUUGGGACUGCAAGGCUGGAGUAUGGCAGAGGGGACUAGAAUUCCUGGUGCAGCAGUGAAAUGCGUAGAUAUCAGGAGGAAUACCGAUGGCGAAGGCAGGUCCCUGGGCUAAUACUGACGCUCAUGCACGAAAGCGUGGGGAGCAAACAGGAUUAGAUA